ACCCACUGAUAGAGCUUGAACAAUUUGCUGUUGUUCUUUUUGUUUACACUAAAAUGAGAAAGGAAAAAUCCCCAGUGCUUUCUGUCUCUGUGGCAACCAGUUUGACUAGAGGAGAAUGUCU
RNAcentral lists this small nucleolar RNA (121 nucleotides) under Sorex araneus (European shrew). RNAcentral's name for it is "Small nucleolar RNA SNORA31 (ENSSARG00000019139.1)". It matches the Rfam family "Small nucleolar RNA SNORA31". From Rfam's summary of the family: ACA31 (SNORA31) belongs to the H/ACA class of snoRNAs which are thought to guide the sites of modification of uridines to pseudouridines. ACA31 is predicted to guide the pseudouridylation of U3713 in 28S rRNA and U218 in 18S rRNA. The record is from RNAcentral. Lineage: Eukaryota; Metazoa; Chordata; Mammalia; Eulipotyphla; Soricidae.